GGAUUUUCUAUAGAAUCAAACUAAAAAUUCUAAAAAUUCCUAAGUUUGAUUAUCGAAAACUAUUAUUUCAAUAGUUGGAGUGGCUACUGCCCUCCGAAGGUAUUUGAGGUUUAGGACUUUAGCAAUCGAAGCUGCUUCUAUCUAUCUUAUUUUUCUUUUUAUUUCAAGGCUCCAAAACUUGUUUUUAGGCAGUAGAUGGACCUAGAAUAAACUCUAUGAUGU
RNAcentral lists this unclassified non-coding RNA (222 nucleotides) under Hevea brasiliensis (rubber tree). The record is from RNAcentral. Lineage: Eukaryota; Viridiplantae; Streptophyta; Magnoliopsida; Malpighiales; Euphorbiaceae.